This 506-nucleotide ribosomal RNA is filed under the name uncultured bacterium. Its description in RNAcentral is "partial 16S ribosomal RNA". It matches the Rfam family "Bacterial small subunit ribosomal RNA", at positions 29 to 523 of the family's 1533-position model. The record is from RNAcentral.
AUUGAACGCUGGCGGCAGGCCUAACACAUGCAAGUCGGACGGUAGCACAGGGGAGCUUGCUCCCCGGGUGACGAGUGGCGGACGGGUGAGUAAUGUCUGGGAAACUGCCCGGUGGAGGGGGAUAACUACUGGAAACGGUAGCUAACACCGCAUAACGUCUUCGGACCAAAGUGGGGGACCUUAGGGCCUCACGCCACCGGAUGUGCCCAGAUGGGAUUAGCUAGUAGGUGGGGUAACGGCUCACCUAGGCGACGAUCCCUAGCUGGUCUGAGAGGAUGACCAGCCACACUGGAACUGAGACACGGUCCAGACUCCUACGGGAGGCAGCAGUGGGGAAUAUUGCACAAUGGGCGCAAGCCUGAUGCAGCCAUGCCGCGUGUAUGAAGAGGGCCUUCGGGUUGUAAAGUACUUUCAGCGGGGAGGAAGGCGGUGAGGUUAAUAACCUCGCCGAUUGACGUUACCCGCAGAAGAAGCACCGGCUAACUCCGUGCCAGCAGCCGCAGUAA